This 1933-nucleotide long non-coding RNA is filed under the name Homo sapiens (human). Its description in RNAcentral is "non-protein coding lnc-LYZL2-5:1". Lineage: Eukaryota; Metazoa; Chordata; Mammalia; Primates; Hominidae. The record is from RNAcentral.
UAAUCAACCACAUAAAUACACUUGUUUGCAUACAGGUUCAACUUCUUUAGCACAAAGAUAAAGCAAUAAGUUAUCAUGAUACCCAUCUCCAAAGGUUAGUUCAUUGAUGAAGUAAAUAGAAUCUUGGGCAUGGUGUUUGCUUGAUACCGUGAAUGCUGUUACCAAAAAUCUUCCCAAGAAACAUUAACUUUGCCUCUUUCUAGGUAAAACAAAUUAAAUCUGUAAAAGAUCUUAUAUGCUUGAGUUAGAAAAACCCUGAAUAUAUUUGGGUUGGUGACAAAAGUGAAAUAUAACACCCCUGCCACUUUGAACAAAACUACAUUGAUUGUGAACUGUAGUAAAAUAUGUCAUAUAAUCCUUUUUGAGAAGCCAUCUGAGAAAGAGUAUUAUGUUUUUCUUCAGUGGUAAAGAGUUGCAGUAUCUAAACCAAGUUUUCUACUGGCUACACUCGGCUAUUUCUAUUCUUGACCUCUAUGGUUGACAGCAGCAGAUGAGAAAAAUGAAGUCUGUAAUAAGUUUGUCUGUAAGAGAGCUGCAGUGCUCUUUAUAACUGAUCCUGCAGCCAGGGUGCAGGAUACCCAGGUCAUGAUUUGGGUUCUUUAGUUCGAUUGCCCAGAGGAUACCAACUCAUAUUCCCAGGGAGAUCAAACUGCCAAGUAAAAUGAGGAUGGCGAAGCUGUAUCAAUUUUACUUCUCUCAGGAGAAGAAAAGGAUGGUGUAGCUACCUCUCAAGAAGAGGAUACCUAUGAAAGAAGGAAAAAUUAAUCCAGAAAAACUUAGGGACAUCCAGAAAAUACCAGAGCCCUUUUUAGCCCAAGAUCAACCAUUAAAAGGAAGACCUCAAAGGUAUUUCAUUUCCUAUGUACGUUAGUGUAUCUGAUAAGUAUUUGAACAAGUUACCUCUACCUGAAUAUGCUGUGUCUCUUUGUCUUGCUGUGACACUUUGGAUAAGGUCUCUGCAGAAAAUAUAGAAACAACUGACCAAAGAGUUGUUAAUGAGAAUACAGCUCUUAUCUCUCACCAAUGACUACAUGGAAGAAUUUAGAGCCUAUUUCAAUAACAAUAUGUUGUUCAUCCUUCAGUCAGAUGGAAAGAGACCAGAAGCAGGAGAGAGAGAGUACAUGCGGGCCAAUGAUGUUAGUAAUGAAGAAGGAGAGGAAGAGAAAGAAAGAGACAGAUGAGAUGGAAAAUGGAAAAGAAAGUGUUGAAAACAGAGGAGCCUCAAACUCAGUCUGCCCCUAAUACUGAUGAGGCACAGAAAACCAAGGACAUUUCUAUAAAGUUCAUGAACACAGAUGAGGAGGCUGAAGAUGGCCCAGAUGCUGAUUUCUUUAAGGAUCUGAAUCCAGUGACAAGAAAAAAGUGACCAAAAUCACACGCAAAAGAAAUGAGAAAUUUUAAGUGAAUAAGAACAUAAUUCUUACUGACGAAGGGAAGUAGGUUCAGCGCUGGCCACCGAUGCAGAAGUGCAUCUUAAAGGAUGCUAAGGAAGAGGAUUGUAGUGGUAUAAACCUUGAAAAAUCAAAAGAAAGGCUUCAGGAAGUGGAAAAAUUUGACAAAGAAGAGUAGAGGAAAAAAGUUAAGACAAAGCAUAUGGAGAAAAUACUUCAAAGGGGAAGCAAAAAGAGAGGCCAGCAAGGCCAAAGAUGAAGGGAAUGUCUUUUAGGAUCUCAGUGGUAAUAAUGGGAAAUUCGAUUAAUUCACUCUUAGAUCCUCGUACAUACAGAUGUCUGAAGAAUCAGAUAGUGAAGAUACGGAAAAUAAAAUUAGUAGUUCAGGAAAACCCAUAGAAGGAAGAAAAGGAGCCACAGUAAAGUGGACAAUGUGAAACUACUAUUAUAACAAGUUGCAAAUGAAAGAAGGCCAAGUAGGAAUCCUCAGAGUCUCUGGAUACAGUUCUGUCUCUAGCAGAAGACAAAGAGCUUAAAUUUUA